Molecule: non-coding RNA, 47 nt
Organism: Angomonas deanei
Lineage: Eukaryota; Euglenozoa; Kinetoplastea; Trypanosomatida; Trypanosomatidae
Source: Rfam
ACCCCGGUUUUUUUAAAAACCCCCGGGUUUAAAAAAAACCGUUUUUU